UGGUUCUGGCAUCGAUGAAGAACGCAGCGAAAUGCGAUAAGUAAUGCGAAUUGCAGAAUUUCCGUGAGUCAUCGAAUCUUUGAACGCACAUUGCGCCCAUUGGUAUUCCGAUGGGCAUGCCUGUUCGAGCGUCAUUAUCCUCUCUCAAACCGCCCUGGUGGUUUGGUGUUGGACCCAAGUUGUCGCGCUUGCUGCACAACUGGUCUCAAAGACAAUGACGGCGUCCGUGGGACCCUCUUCGCAACGAGCUUCUUCGGAGCACGCGUCGAGUUUCAAGGACCUUCCGGGCCGGUCUCCCCUUUAUAUUUUACAAGGUUGACCUCGGAUCAGGUAGGAAUACCCGCUGA
Molecule: unclassified non-coding RNA, 347 nt
Filed under: uncultured fungus
Lineage: Eukaryota; Fungi
Description: partial contains 5.8S ribosomal RNA and internal transcribed spacer 2
Rfam family: 5.8S ribosomal RNA (bases 1-134)
Source: RNAcentral